This 419-nucleotide ribosomal RNA is filed under the name Gulella perlata. RNAcentral's name for it is "partial 16S ribosomal RNA". Lineage: Eukaryota; Metazoa; Mollusca; Gastropoda; Stylommatophora; Streptaxidae. The record is from RNAcentral.
AAUUUUAUGUUUAUUAUAUAAAACAAUUUCUGCCCUAUGGUUUUACUAAAUAAAUGGCCGAGUACCCUGACUGUGCUAAGGUAGCAUAAUAAAUUGGCUUUUAAAUGAGGUCUUGCAUGAAAGAAUUUAUGAGUAAUAAUUGUCUCAGUGUUAUUUUUGUUAAUUUAUUUUAUUAGGUGAAAAUACCUAAAAAAAAAAGAAAGACGAGAAGACCCUUAGAAUUUUGAUUAGUUUUUUUGUUGGGGUGACAGUUUAAGAUUUUUGAACUUACUUUUUUUAACAUGAAAGUUUACAAGAAAGAUAAAAUUACCUUAGGGAUAACAGCAUAAUUUUUCUUUUAGAUUGUGACCUCGAUGUUGGACUAGGGACUUAAUAAUUAGAAAUUAAAUUAGUUAGUUCUGUUCGAACUUUUUUCCCCU